GGAUGCGAUCAUACCAGCACUAAAGCACCGGAUCCCAUCAGAACUCCGAAGUUAAGCGUGCCUGGGCGAGAGCAGUACUAGGAUGGGUGACCUCCUAGGAAGUCCUCGUGUUGCAUUCC
Molecule: ribosomal RNA, 119 nt
Filed under: Triticum aestivum (bread wheat)
Lineage: Eukaryota; Viridiplantae; Streptophyta; Magnoliopsida; Poales; Poaceae
Source: RNAcentral